This 607-nucleotide ribosomal RNA is filed under the name uncultured Methanobrevibacter sp. Its description in RNAcentral is "bacterial SSU rRNA". It matches the Rfam family "Archaeal small subunit ribosomal RNA", at positions 315 to 922 of the family's 1478-position model. Lineage: Archaea; Methanobacteriati; Methanobacteriota; Methanobacteria; Methanobacteriales; Methanobacteriaceae. The record is from RNAcentral.
UCCAGGCCCUACGGGGCGCAGCAGGCGCGAAACCUCCGCAAUGUGAGAAAUCGCGACGGGGGGAUCCCAAGUGCCAUUCUUAACGGGAUGGCUUUUCAUUAGUGUAAAGAGCUUUUGGAAUAAGAGCUGGGCAAGACCGGUGCCAGCCGCCGCGGUAACACCGGCAGCUCUAGUGGUAGCAGUUAUUAUUGGGCCUAAAGCGUCCGUAGCCGGUUUAAUAAGUCUCUGGUGAAAUCCUGUAGCUUAACUAUGGGAAUUGCUGGAGAUACUAUUAGACUUGAGAUCGGGAGAGGUUAGAGGUACUCCCAGGGUAGAGGUGAAAUUCUGUAAUCCUGGGAGGACCGCCUGUUGCGAAGGCGUCUAACUGGAACGAUUCUGACGGUGAGGGACGAAAGUUAGGGGCGCGAACCGGAUUAGAUACCCGGGUAGUCCUAACUGUAAACGAUGCGGACUUGGUGUUGGGAUGGCUUUGAGCUGUCUCAGUGCCGAAGGGAAGCUGUUAAGUCCGCCGCCUGGGAAGUAUGGUCGCAAGACUGAAACUUAAAGGAAUUGGCGGGGGAGCACCACAACGCGUGGAGCCUGCGGUUUAAUUGGACUCAACGCCGGU